Molecule: long non-coding RNA, 210 nt
Filed under: Nicotiana benthamiana
Lineage: Eukaryota; Viridiplantae; Streptophyta; Magnoliopsida; Solanales; Solanaceae
Description: long non-coding RNA (NBEN_LNC000314)
Source: RNAcentral
AUUGAAAUCUGAAAAAGAUUUUUUGAACGUUGCUGAAUAAUCGAUUAUUAAUUUGGUAUAAUUGAUUGUUUUACGAAAAAUCUGGAAAUGAUUUUUUGAACGUUGCCAAUAACCGAUUGUUGAUCUUGGACAAUCGAUUGUUAAGCUUAAAAUCUGGGAUUGAUUUUUGGAACUAUUGGCAAACAAUCGAUUGUGGCUUCCUGACAAUCG